Triticum aestivum (bread wheat) is the source of this 2913-nucleotide long non-coding RNA. RefSeq lists it as uncharacterized. The record is from RefSeq and is a predicted model, not a curated record. Lineage: Eukaryota; Viridiplantae; Streptophyta; Magnoliopsida; Poales; Poaceae. The transcript is spliced from 7 exons.
CUGAGUUCAAAGAAAAUAUCUAGUAUCAGCUCCGUGGAGGUGCCCGUCCCUAUAUCACACCCCCAUCACCCAGUUGGUGAACUCACUCCAGCAACCAUAUCCCUUCUCCUGCCCCGGACUCCUGCAGCAUCUGAAGCUCGCCUUCGCCACGCAUGCAGGGUACUACAUGAAGUGACCUAGAACACAUGGAAGGGGAUAAGUUCCAGGAAGAGAUCGAAUGCCUCAUGGAGGUGAAGCACAAAAACGUCGCACGGUUUCUAGGAUAUUGUGCCGACACGCAAGGGAGAGAGGUAGACUUUGAGGGAAGCUUUGUAAUGGCAGAUGUACGACGACAGUUCCUCUGUUUUAAGUAUCGACACAAAGAUACACACAGUGGAGUUGAAUGGAGAGAGCACUAUGAAAUAAUCAAGGAAAUUGCAAGGGUUUAUGGUACCUUCACCGUAAUCAUAUUAUUCACUUGGACCUAAAACCUGAUAAUAUAUUGUUGGAUGAUAAUAUGGUACCGAAAAUAGCUGACUUUGGUCUCUCAAAGUACUUUCGUGCCGGAUUAUCAUUUCAAAAUUUGGAUGAACAUCGGGUUAUUUGGCACCAGAAUUCUACGGUGGAAAGCUCACAUUCAAGUCAGACAUAUACAGUUUGGGUGUUAUAAUCAUAGAGAUAUUAAUAUGCCGUAUGAAAUAUACCAAAGACUGCUCUGCUUUGAGUAUAUACCCAAAGGGUAUCUUUAUGAUUAUAUCACCGGUCACAUUCAAGUCAGACAUAUACAGUUUGGGUGUUAUAAUCAUAGAGAUACUAACAUGACAUAUGGGAUAUACCAAAGAUUGCUCUGCUUUGAGUAUGUAUCUAAAGGGAGUCUUCAUGAUUAUAUCACCGAUGCAUCUCGUGGACUUGAAUGGGGCAAGAGGUAUCUAAUUAUUAAAGGAAUUUGUGAGGGCUUAUAUUACCUUAAACAAGAAAGUAUUAUUAACUUAGAUCUGAAACCAGCCAAUAUAUCGGUGGACAACAAUAUGUUGCCCAAAAUUGCCGACUUUGGUCUCCCAAGAUGUUAUGAUGAAAAUCAAAAUUGGAUCAAUGUAAGCCGGUUAAGUCUCUCAAAGCUCAUCAAUGGUGGCUUUGUAGUGGUUUAUAAGGGAAUUCUUUAAAAUGGGGGAAUCGCUGUGAAGAAGCUUUCCAACAUGUCUUAUAUUCAUGAUAGCGAAUUCGAGUGAGAGGCUGAAUGUUUGAUGAAGACCAAGCACAAAAAGUACGGUUUAUGAGUUAUUUGGCUAUGCACAUAGGGAAAUGGCUUCCUACGAGGGAAAAAUUUCCAUGGUAGAUGUACAACAAAGGUUGCUCUGCUUUGAGUAUCUACCAAAAGGAAGUCUUCGUGACUAUAUCACCGAAUGCUUAUGGAUAUGAAUGGAGAGAGCGCUGUAAUAUAAUCAAAGGAAUUUGUGAGGGUUUAAGUUAUCUCCACAAGAACCAUAUUGUUCACUUCGACUUAAACCGACAAAUAUACUUUAUGGAAUAUAAUAUGGUUCCUAAAAUAACUGACUUUGGUAUCUCAAGAUGUUUUGAUGAAACAAGGCCGUGUUAUUACUUCAAAAGUGAUGGGAUUAGUGUAAGCCGGCUAAGCCUCUCGAAAGCUCUCAAGCUCUUUUUUUCAGGGUUCACUUUUAAAUUAUGUAUUCAUUAUCUUCUCAUUUCAUGUAGGGGAUAUGUUUUACUAGAAGUUCUUUUCAAUGGAAUAAUCACAUUCAAAUCAGACAUAUACAAUCUUAGUCUAUAUAUCAAUAAUUAUGGAGACAUUGAUUAUGAUGAAGUGGUAUUUUGAAGUUGAUUAUGUAUGAAUUUAUAUCACCCUUCAAUGAUAAAAUGUUCAAAUACUGAUGCCAUGCCUUUUACUUAUGCAUACUGUUGGAAGCACACCCAGCAGCCCUAAGCACAAAUUAGCUGCAAAAGACACAACAGACUUAUUGUAAUGUAAACCUAUAGUUUUGCAAAGGGGGUAAAAUGAACAUUCUUUAAUACAAUUUGACACUACUUUAUCUCUGUUUCUUUUUAAUUUUACCGAACAGUAGAACACAGAUUACAUGGUGCAGUUUUUACAUUUUUGUUAUAAAUUAUUGUUAGUUUGAUAUUGUAAUUUAGUAAUUUAUGUGGUUUGCACAUUAACAUCAUAUUUAUGGGGUUCGUAUGCAAAAGAUUACACACUUAAUUGCUGAUUACAUAGAUGUUGAUCCUUUUCAUUAACCCACAUCUCACUGUUGCAAUUGAGCAGGUACUCAAAAUUUGGAGGAAUAGAUUGGACAGAUCACUGGGAGGUAGACGACUGGAACGAGUAUGCUCUGAGUGAUGGAGUGCAUUGACACCGAGGCAGCGAGGAAACCAAGUCCUUAGCAUAUGAGCAAGCAUCUCAGCCGCCGGAGGGGUCAAUGCUCGUCAAUGUGGAUGCAGCGAUCUUCUCCCAAUCUGCAAGAGCGGGCUUUGGUCCGGUGAUACAUAAUCACCUGGGAAGGGUGCACAGGCGGUGAACAGAGGCUACUUCGAAAGAGUUCAAAUUCUUGAAGUAGCAGAAGCCAUGGCACUUCGUCAAGUCUUAAUCCUUGCCAAUAAAACUGGUAUAAUGAAGAUCAUGCGAUUGCCUAUCAUUGGGUUUAGGUUUUGAUAGGUCCCCUACUAGAGCCAUAGUCCAUGGUAUUAGAAAAUGUGCCACAAAAUUUGUAUCUUGUACUUUUAUCCAUGUCAAUCGUUCUUGUAGGCACUAGGCAGCACAUGUUCUGGUAUCCAUGUCAAUCGUUCUUGUAGGCGGCAUAUGUUCGGCUAAAUCGGCAGUUGGCUUAAUGGGUUCCCUGAUGUAAUAAGGAUCAUUAUAUGUAAUGAAUCAGUUAUGAAUGAAUAAAAGGGUGCAACUGCCCAUUACCUUAAAUAAAA